GCUGAGCCUGAGGGGCUGUGUUCGGCCUCUGUCAUCUGUCACUAUCCUGCUGAGACUGGUUGCCAGGCUGGGGCUCAGAGGUUCCAGGGCAGCUCACUUCCUGCCGAGGCAGCCAACAGACACCGCCCAGGUGCCCUCACCUCCAGUGGCAUCCAUCCAGACACCAGCACUGACACUGGCCGUGCUCAGAACUGCCUCAGCCCUGAAGACACAACUGACAAAUAUAAGGGGGCUACGCCCUGUGACAGCAGGUGCUCUCACUUUGUGGGUCCUUAUGUAACUGCGCGGUGUUAUUCAGGAUCGCCCGUUCUACACUAUGUGACGCUGCUGCCGUGUCUCCUAGUUAUUUCUCGUUCCGAGGAGAGAAUUCAGCAGUGCAGCAUCCUCUCCGAGCUCUAUGAGUUGAUCGGCUUCCACCGCAAGUCCGCCUUCUUCAAGCGGGUGGCCCCCGUGCAGCGAGCGGCCCCCGGCAUCCCGGAGCCUGGCUGAAAGGCCUUCUACCGACUCCUUCUGCAGACACUUCCUGGCUACAUCCUAUCGCUGGACCUGCAGGACUUCAGCAAAGGUGUUGGAACUAAAACAUAGCUUCAGUCCCAUUAACCAUGCCUGUUUUGGGCCCUGCUGUCCUGUCUCAUCAGGGUGAAUUGUGAUUCGUGUAGAACAGGGCUCAGCAGACUUUUUCUGUCAAGGGCUUGGGAGUAAAUAUUUCAGGGUCUGCAAACCUCCUGAUCUCUGCUGCAGCUGCUCAGCUCUGCUGUUCAGACGCCUGAGCAGCCGGACCGUCCACACACCCACAGAGCUUUAUUCACAGCGGUGGCUGGGGCUGGAUUGGGUGUAUGAACUGCAGUUUGUCCCCACAGCCUCCUCACUAUUGACGCCUGCACCAGAGCAUGCAUUUGCGACAAUGGGUGAACCUGCACUGACACGUCAUCAUCACCUAGAGCCCAUACUUGACACUAGGAUUUACACAUGGUGGUGUGCACUCUGUGGGUUUGGACAGAUGUAAAAUGACACGUUUCCACCAUCACAGCAUCAUACAGAGUAGUCUGUCUUAGUGACCCUAAAAAUGCUCCGUGCUGCACCUCAUUCAUUGCUCCUUCCCCUCUAGCCUCUGACAGCCACUGAUCUUUUAGUCUCUGUGGUUUUCCCUUUCCCAGAACACCAUACAGUUGGAAUCAGACAGUUGUGGAACCUUCCCAGAUUGGCUUCUUUCACUUAGUAAUAAGCAUUUAAGGUUCCUCCAUGUCUUUCCAUGCCUUGAUAACUCAUUUCAUUUUAGCACCAAAUAAUAGUCCAUUUUCUGGCUGGACCACAGUUUAUCCAUUCACCUACUGAAGAACAGCUUAGUUGCUUCUGAGUUCUGGUGAUUAUGAAUAAAGCUGCUAUUAACAUCUGUA
Long non-coding RNA from Camelus dromedarius (Arabian camel), 1397 nucleotides. RefSeq lists it as uncharacterized. The record is from RefSeq and is a predicted model, not a curated record. Lineage: Eukaryota; Metazoa; Chordata; Mammalia; Artiodactyla; Camelidae. The transcript is spliced from 3 exons.